GGUAACAGCGUUCCGUGUUUCAGUCGCACUGGCCAUGUGACCACGGAAGAUUUUCUUCGGACAAAACGCUGGCUCUAUGGCUUGGAAAUGGGGAUGAGCACCGCCCCCUAGAAUCGAACACGACUGGACAAAAAUUGUCAAGGGGAACCUUUACCUUUUACCUCUAUAGAGAUAUUAGCUAUCAUUUGUUAUCAACUGAUAGCUAAUAUCUCUAUAGCUAUAGUAUCCCUCUUCACUGUCAUAGACAGCAACAUAACAGGGGGUGCAUUGCAAUGCAGGGCCGUACCAUCGCUUCAGUUAAACACGCACUGCCUCCACAGCAGAUUAUCAGGUGCAGCAGAUGCUUCUCUCUGUAAGCAGGGGGAAUAGCUCAGUGAGUUGGGCACCUGGCUGUCGAACCCGUAGUCGAGAGUUCAAUUCCUCCACUGUGCCUCCAGGGAGAAGGGCCAGCCUAUGAAGUCUUGGUUGAGCUGAAGAGUCCCAGCGCGCCCCUGCACUCCCCAGAAGACAGAACUGAAUAUGUUACACCUGGGAUGCCCUUAAGAGGGUCCAUCAUAAGACAGAACUGGCUUGACGGCAUGCUGUUGUUGUUGUUCUUGUUGUUGUUGAUGAUGAUGUUCCUGGAAGUCUCUGUCUGACGGAUGGCAUUUUAUCUAUCUGCUGCUCUGUCCUUCUCUUUGGUAGGUCUGGGGAAGCCAUUUUGUCUGAACAUUUUGCAGAACAUCCUUACUCAACCUGUUGCCUUCCAGACGUUACGGACGAGAACUUCCAUCUUCCUCUGCCACCUUGGCCGAAGAUCUUCAGUCUUGACCAGCAUAGCUAACUGCUGAGGAUGAUGGGAUUGUAACUAACACCACCAGAAAGGUGACGCUUUCCCCACUCUUGGCGUGGAUUAUCCUAAACUAGCUGGAACGAAUCAGCAGACUUUGUACAAGAUCUCUCCAGGCUCAUAUUGGAAGCCUUGGACAACUUUGAAGUGAGAAGAUGCAACCUCAGUGGCCACCAGGCUGGCUGGAGAUUCUGAAAUCUGUUGUCUGAAUAUGGAAUAUUUCCAGACUUUGUAUGGGCACCUAUAUUUACUGUGAGUCUUUCAGAGAACAUUCAUCACGGGGCAGCAGAAACAAAUGGAAAAGCAGUAGGGUAUGUUCUUGACAAAAAUGUAUGCUUUUGGGCCAGGCUGUGGAUCUCUCUCUACAACUUACUUGCAGUAACUAAAAUAAAAUAAAUAAUGCAAGCUUUGACUCCUUUUUA
Molecule: long non-coding RNA, 1251 nt
Filed under: Pogona vitticeps (central bearded dragon)
Lineage: Eukaryota; Metazoa; Chordata; Lepidosauria; Squamata; Agamidae
Description: lncRNA (ENSPVIG00000016034.1)
Source: RNAcentral